CUUGCAGGAUUGCCAUUUGGAUCCUCGAUGGGCAAAGCCUCUUGCAGAUGUCCUCCGGAGCUGUCCUCACUUUUCCGAAAUCGAUUUGUCAGAUAACUCACUUGGCGACGCCGGCUGCAAUCAGCUGAUGAAGACGGUGCCCAAAUUAUCCAUUUCUGGCACUCUAAGGUUAAACAACAACCAGUUGACUCUCAAGAGCCUUUUCCGCCUCUUGAACACCAUGGCGUUUUGUCCAAAUAUAGUGAUGCUGAAAGCCAG
Molecule: non-coding RNA, 258 nt
Organism: Anolis sagrei ordinatus
Lineage: Eukaryota; Metazoa; Chordata; Lepidosauria; Squamata; Anolidae
Source: RefSeq, a predicted model, not a curated record